Drosophila novamexicana is the source of this 262-nucleotide long non-coding RNA. RefSeq lists it as uncharacterized. The transcript is spliced from 2 exons. The record is from RefSeq and is a predicted model, not a curated record. NCBI's taxonomy places the organism in Eukaryota, Metazoa, Arthropoda, Insecta, Diptera, Drosophilidae.
GUUUGAGUUCUCAUAUAACAGAUUUCACUUUCAUUGAAUAUUUACGUGCGUCCUUUUGUGCUAACAAAACUUAUCGCCAUGAGAGUUCUUUUAACCAAAAUCUUUCUUGGCAUGACGCUGUUUCUGGGGCUUGCUAAAGCAGGUAUAAAUUGGUAUGAUUUACAUGCCAAACCACAUCUGCCCAUCAUAGGCCCGAUCGUUUAGUAUUCUAGUAAGCCAAUACAAUGUUUUAAUAAAGAACUUUAUGCGUUGAAUAAUAAAA